GGAUCCAGACUUUGAUUAUGGCUCAGGAUGAACGCUAGCUACAGGCUUAACACAUGCAAGUCGAGGGGCAGCAUGGUCUUAGCUUGCUAAGACUGAUGGCGACCGGCGCACGGGUGAGUAACACGUAUCCAACCUGCCGUCUACUCUUGGACAGCCUUCUGAAAGGAAGAUUAAUACAAGAUGGCAUCAUGAGUCCGCAUGUUCACAUGAUUAAAGGUAUUCCGGUAGACGAUGGGGAUGCGUUCCAUUAGAUAGUAGGCGGGGUAACGGCCCACCUAGUCUUCGAUGGAUAGGGGUUCUGAGAGGAAGGUCCCCCACAUUGGAACUGAGACACGGUCCAAACUCCUACGGGAGGCAGCAGUGAGGAAUACUGGUCAAUGGGCGAGAGCCUGAACCAGCCAAGUAGCGUGAAGGAUGACUGCCCUAUGGGUUGUAAACUUCUUUUAUAAAGGAAUAAAGUCGGGUAUGCAUACCCGUUUGCAUGUACUUUAUGAAUAAGGAUCGGCUAACUCCGUGCCAGCAGCCGCGGUAAUACGGAGGAUCCGAGCGUUAUCCGGAUUUAUUGGGUUUAAAGGGAGCGUAGAUGGAUGUUUAAGUCAGUUGUGAAAGUUUGCGGCUCAACCGUAAAAUUGCAGUUGAUACUGGAUAUCUUGAGUGCAGUUGAGGCAGGCGGAAUUCGUGGUGUAGCGGUGAAAUGCUUAGAUAUCACGAAGAACUCCGAUUGCGAAGGCAGCCUGCUAAGCUGCAACUGACAUUGAGGCUCGAAAGUGUGGGUAUCAAACAGGAUUAGAUACCCUGGUAGUCCACACGGUAAACGAUGAAUACUCGCUGUUUGCGAUAUACGGCAAGCGGCCAAGCGAAAGCGUUAAGUAUUCCACCUGGGGAGUACGCCGGCAACGGUGCAACUCAAAUGAAUUGACGG
RNAcentral lists this ribosomal RNA (922 nucleotides) under uncultured Bacteroidota bacterium. RNAcentral's name for it is "bacterial SSU rRNA". It matches the Rfam family "Bacterial small subunit ribosomal RNA", at positions 1 to 916 of the family's 1533-position model. Lineage: Bacteria; Pseudomonadati; Bacteroidota. The record is from RNAcentral.